UAUACGACCGUACCGCAAACCGACACUGGUGCGCGAGAUGAGUAUUCUAAGGCGCUUGAGAGAACUCAGGAGAAGGAACUCGGCAAAUUGACACCGUAACUUCGGAAGAAGGUGUGCCCUAUUAGUGUGUAGUGAACAACGAAGCAUGAAUGGGUUGCAAAAAAUCGGUGGCUGCGACUGUUUAUUAAAAACACAGCACUCUGCAAACACGAAAGUGGACGUAUAGGGUGUGACGCCUGCCCGGUGCUGGAAGAUUAAAUGAUGGGGUGCAAGCUCUUGAUUGAAGUCCCAGUAAACGGCGGCCGUAACCAUAACGGUCCUAAGGUAGCGAAAUUCCUUGUCGGGUAAGUUCCGACCUGCACGAAUGGCGUAACGAUGGCCACACUGUCUCCUCCUGAGACUCAGCGAAGUUGAAAUGUUUGUGAUGAUGCAAUCUCCCCGCGGAAAGACGGAAAGACCCCAUGAACCUUUACUGUAGCUUUGUAUUGGACUUUGAACAGAUCUGUGUAGGAUAGGUGGGAGGCUUUGAAGCAGGGUCGCUAGAUCUUGUGGAGCCAACGUUGAAAUACCACCCUGGUGUGUUUGAGGUUCUAACCUAGGUCCAUUAUCUGGAUCGGGGACAGUGCAUGGUAGGCAGUUUGACUGGGGCGGUCUCCUCCCAAAGCGUAACGGAGGAGUUCGAAGGUACGCUAGUUACGGUCGGACAUCGUGACGAUAGUGCAAUGGCAUAAGCGUGCUUAACUGCGAGACUGACAAGUCGAGCAGAUGCGAAAGCAGGACAUAGUGAUCCGGUGGUUCUGUAUGGAAGGGCCAUCGCUCAACGGAUAAAAGGUACUCUGGGGAUAACAGGCUGAUACCGCCCAAGAGUUCAUAUCGACGGCGGUGUUUGGCACCUCGAUGUCGGCUCAUCUCAUCCUGGGGCUGUAGCCGGUCCCAAGGGUAUGGCUGUUCGCCAUUUAAAGAGGUACGUGAGCUGGGUUUAAAACGUCGUGAGACAGUUUGGUUCCUAUCUUCCGUGGGCGCUGCAGAUUUGAGGAAGCCUGCUCCUAGUACGAGGGGACCGGAGUGGACACACCUCUGGUGUAUCGGUUGUCACGCCAGUGGCAUUGCCGAGUAGCUAAGUGUGGAAGAGAUAACCGCUGAAAGCAUCUAAGCGGGAAACUCGUUUCAAGAUGAGAUCUGCCGGGGCCUUGAGCCCCCUAAAGAGUCGUUCAAGACCAGGACGUUGAUAGGCCAGGUGUGGAAGCG
RNAcentral lists this ribosomal RNA (1248 nucleotides) under metagenome. RNAcentral describes it as "bacterial LSU rRNA". It matches the Rfam family "Bacterial large subunit ribosomal RNA", at positions 1635 to 2875 of the family's 2925-position model. The record is from RNAcentral.